UAGGCCGGCCUGGGCGUCCUCUUGGUCAAGCUCCACAGAUAAGCAGGGCACUACGAAACGUCUCUGCUGAGGAGGAGAAGAGCUGCUGCUGGCAGCAAGGGCACAGAGGAGAGGCCCAGGAACCCUCGGACAGGCACUCGAGACGUGCUGUCCUCUCCAGGCUCGCUCCAGAGCGCUCCAGUGAUCCCCGACAUUGCCUUCCAUGAAACAGAUGCUUAAAAUCACUCAUACACACCGGCGUGUUUGAAGAGCUUUCACUUGCCCUUCCCCGCAAACUGGGCCAAACCUAAAAAAGGCCAACUUGGGGUCAUGAAAUCAAUUGAGCAGACCACAAGCGUAAUUUGAACUUGACACAGAACAGAAUGAAAUAGAGAAUAUCGCAGUGUGUCGCACACGGCAAAGGGAGGCAGCCUGUUCACAGUAAUCCUGCAGGGAAGGAGCUGGAGGGAUGAACAUCUCAGCCUCACUGUCCUCUCUGUUUCUCAUCUCCUGCCAACGAACACACUGGCCUACCAGGCCCAGGGUGCCAUGACGCAGUCCACAUGGGAAAGCAGGGUGAUGGGGGCGGAGAGUGAAUAUGGAGUUCAGCCAGAGCAUGACCCGUGCAAACAAAAUCUCUGCCCUCCAGGAACUUAUAUUCCAUGGAUGGCCAGUUGGAGUUGAGCUUCUGUCCCGGCUCAACAUGCAAAGAAAACCACCUGUGCAAAAGUGUGGAGGGGAGAAAGCGGAUGGCAUAUUGAGGGACCGGCUGGGUUUGUGGUCUGGUGCUGGCGAAGUGGGCAGAAAUUGGAUAAGGCUCUAACAGUGGGCUUGGGUCAGAUGCCGAAUGUAUGAGCAUUCAUGAAGGGGGUUAAGCAGGAAGUGACACGAACAGAUGUGCAUUUUAGAAAGCUCACACUGAGAGCCAUGUAGAGGACAGGUGGAGGUGAGCAGGCCUGGGAGGAAGGGGGCUACGGCAGAGCCUGGGGCGACCUGGUGGGCGUGCAGAGCUCAGCUGGGGACACGCGGGAAGGAGGGCAAUGCUGGGAUGCAGGAGGGA
This is a long non-coding RNA of Leopardus geoffroyi (Geoffroy's cat), 1039 nucleotides long. RefSeq lists it as uncharacterized. The record is from RefSeq and is a predicted model, not a curated record. The transcript has 4 exons. Lineage: Eukaryota; Metazoa; Chordata; Mammalia; Carnivora; Felidae.